CCGUAUGAACUCAAUGUAUUCAAAUAAUUGUUUAUAAGCACGGCAUGGUCCUGCCCGUCAAUUGCAAGAGGAGAGCACUGGUGCUCAGACUGGGUUUUAAAACAAAUGAAUGACCAUGUAACUUGACAUUUUAAUACAAUAUAAAUGGGUGUCAUUUGUGUAUAUUGAGGUAUUAGUGAUGUUAUUCCCUGAUUCAAGAUGACGUCAUAACUUUUUCAUCUCAUUGUCUGCAGUUCUUUGCCACAAGUGGUCCUCGAUCUAUACCAAAAAUUUCACGAUGUUUGGUGGGCAUGAAGAUUUCAAUUCUGGGGCCCAUUCCUGCCAAAUAUGAUGAUAAAAAUUGAUAACACAGACUUAGAUCAGAGAAUAUCUUUGUCAUUAUGAAACUAAAUCAGGACAAAAAAUAUUGUGUGAGAGAUAAAUACACCCAUGAUGUUUCUUUUAACGCAAGCAAAGAAAUAAAACUUGCCUCAUUGUUCAUGCAUAUAAAAGAAUUUAUACAUAAAA
Non-coding RNA from Paramuricea clavata, 507 nucleotides. The record is from the annotation of a GenBank genome assembly. NCBI's taxonomy places the organism in Eukaryota, Metazoa, Cnidaria, Anthozoa, Malacalcyonacea, Plexauridae.